GAUGAACGCUGGCGGCGUGCCUAAUACAUGCAAGUCGAGCGAACAGACGAGGAGCUUGCUCCUCUGACGUUAGCGGCGGACGGGUGAGUAACACGUGGAUAACCUACCUAUAAGACUGGGAUAACUUCGGGAAACCGGAGCUAAUACCGGAUAAUAUAUUGAACCGCAUGGUUCAAUAGUGAAAGACGGUUUUGCUGUCACUUAUAGAUGGAUCCGCGCCGCAUUAGCUAGUUGGUAAGGUAACGGCUUACCAAGGCAACGAUGCGUAGCCGACCUGAGAAGGUGAUCGGCCACACUGGAACUGAGACACGGUCCAGACUCCUACGGGAGGCAGCAGUAGGGAAUCUUCCGCAAUGGGCGAAAGCUUGACGGAGCAACGCCGCGUGAGUGAUGAAGGUCUUCGGAUCGUAAAACUCUGUUAUUAGGGAAGAACAAAUGUGUAAGUAACUAUGCACGUCUUGACGGUACCUAAUCAGAAAGCCACGGCUAACUACGUG
Molecule: ribosomal RNA, 497 nt
Filed under: uncultured bacterium
Lineage: Bacteria
Description: partial 16S ribosomal RNA
Rfam family: Bacterial small subunit ribosomal RNA
Source: RNAcentral